UUUAAUAAUGUGGCUUUUCGCUAUUGAAAAAAAUGUGAAUGCCCUUAAUGUAACCUUAGCAAAUAUAAAUUCUAGCUAAUAUUCUGUAGAAUGAGAUGCAAUUUUGGAUACAGGUCAGGUUUGGAGUGAGGUCGUGAGAGGUAGGGUGAGACAGGUUGAGAGAUUGUUCACCUCUACCCAACAAAUCCUUAGGUCCACUUAUCUCAGGGGGUUGGAGGUAUUCUUUUGCUGUUUAUGUUGGUUUGUUUUACCUUUGUUCCUGUAAAAAAUUCAGUUGAACUGGUGGCACCCUUGAAAAUCAAGCUUAUCCCUCCACUUUAUUUGCAUCGAGACAGCUGCAAUGAAGAAUUCAGUCAUGAUGGUGGGAUAGGAAGGAUGCCGUAAGGCCACACCCCUUCCAUCUUCCUGCCACUGUGGGUCAAGAAACAGCUCUUUUCUGCAGAAAGAUCCUGUAAAAUUGUUACUCCUAAAUCCAACAAAUUAUGGUGGCAAGUGAAACCUAAAAUAAAAUUCUAAGGUCCCCUAACCUUCUGAAUAGACCCUUUUUCUUGGCCAAAGGCAUUCCAGAGUUAACCUGAGAAUCUAGUUCAGACUGUGAUGGAAGAGGGGUUGGGACAGCCUUCAUUAUACCCGCAAGCAUUAACAUCCACACAGACCUUAGGUCUGAUAAGAAACAUUUACAGUCUGUUCUCUCUGAAGGCUGCUAUUUGGAAACUUCAUCUGCAUGAUAAAACCUUGGUCCCCACAACCCCUUUGUAACCCAGACACUCCUUUCUGUUGCAAAUAACUCUUUCAACCAAUUGUCAAUCAGAAAAAAUUUAAAAUGUACCUAGACCUGGAAAGUAGGAAGCUCCUGCCUCAAGUUGCCCCAUGCUUCCAGAUUGAACCAAUGUAAAUCUUACAUAUAUUGAUUGAUGUCUUAUGUCUUUUUAAAAUGUAUAAAAGCAAGCUGUGCCCAACCAGGUCCGGCACAUGUCAUCAGAGCCUCCUGAGGCUAUGUCAUGGGUGCAUCCAUAACGCUGGCAAAAUAGUCUUUCUAAAUUAAUUAAGACCUGUUUCAGAUACUCUUGGGUUCACACAAGUCUAUGGAAUUUGAAGUUAAAAGCCUUCCCUAAUUUUCUUGUCUAUUAAGAUAAGGACAACUCAAUAUGACAUGAAGAGGAAAGAGACAUGACAAACCAGGUGAGGUUCUUUAUGAGGGACACCAACAUCAAUGCUUGCUGGAAGAGAUUGGCUUCUGGGUCGUCACUUUGAAACCAAGCCAAGGAGGGUCCAGCUCAAGACGGAUGCGGGGACAUUUGUUUGGGAUGGAAGAGACGGAAAAGUCUGAAGUCUAGGUCCCUGUCUGGGGGUUCUGGGUGUGUCAACCAGAGAGUCUUUGGGAUCUUUGAGGAUACAAAAAUAUAUUUUCCUAUGACUCACAAUUUAAGCCAAAAUUUCUCUAGAACACUCUAGAGUGAAGAGUGAUCCAAGGGCCAUUCUCUCUGAAGCCUGUUACUUGGAGGCUUGGUCUCCACAACCCCUUUGUAGUGGGUUGUUUACCUUUGGAAUGUUUGCUAAAAUAUAUAUUCCAAGCCUACCAAAUGAAGAUGUUCAGGGAAAGGACCUGGACUGGGCUUGUGGAUGCACCCCAGGUCGAUGCCUCAGCCAUGUGAGAGCGUGAGGGUGUCUGCCCGCCCUGAGUCUGCCUGCCCUGCCCAUAGACCUGAGACCGCUGUUCAGGCUUUGCUCCUCGCUCCUCCCGCUGCGGGUUCUUUCUUCUCAAGGUCUCUUGCUUCAUCAUUUCCUCUUAGCCCAUGGCAUGAACUUGGUUCUUGCCUCGAUCCACUCACUUUGGGUUAUCGCAAUGGCUUCCUAACCAUCUCCUGACACCCAUCCUUCUCCCCCUGCUUCGUUUUACACUGAGGCUGAUUCUCAUCCUGUCACUCCAUUGUUCAUGUAUACAUCGAAGCAACUUCACCGGGCACCAGGGGCCAUCUGCAGUCUGACCUCGGUGUACCCUUCUUUACACUUUCUCUGAUCCUUUACUCUGCACUAGAGGAGACUGAUCUUAUUUUUUCUUCUUCUCUCUUCCCCUAAUGCGAUGUUCACAUUCUGUUUGUUAUUUAUAUUGCUUCUCACUCAAAUUAGAAUUCCACCUCUCUUCUUAAUGUCCCAGAAUCCUUAAAUUCAGCUACUAACACCGUAAACAUCUAUUCAGAUCACCUCAGUUAAAAAGAGCGACGGCCCCACUCCUCACCCUCCCAGCCUAUGUUUUGCAACGAAUCUUUGGAUUGUUAUGUGACAACUAAAGAACAAAAAAUCAAGCUUUUAAGGAAUUAAAGUUAGUUUUAUUCAGAAGCCUUACCAAGGACUAUAGAUGGAGGCCUAUGGCCCAGGAGUGUUUCCAUCGGAGGCGCCAACAUGAUGUUUCAGCUCACUGUUUAUGGAUGGCUGCUGGAGGUUCAGUAUGUGAAAACUCACAUGAAAGUCGGAGUACAGGAGGAUAUCUGGUUACAGAUGACUAAAAUACAUUUAGUUAUGGAUUACAGAGGCAUAGUCACCGUUGGAAACGGGUUUAUAAUGUCAGGAAAAGUCCACACCGAGACAAAGGUCACUCAGCAAGACUAGUUUGCUUCCUGCAGGAAGGAUGCAACUUGCUGGAAGUCUUGCCACAAGAGCACACACCUGAACAAGGGAGACAGGGACAUUUAUAACUUUUAUACCUGACACUGUCACCCUACUGCUGUGUCCAGUUUCCAUUGGCCAGAAUGGGACCUUACAUUCUAUGCUUGACCCAAUUGGCUAAAUUUUCUGAAUAGAUAAGGGGAAAUAAGAAGAUGAGGGAGAAGACAAGGAAGAAGAGGAAGCUAGUCAGGAGAAGGUCAGGAGGGUUUCCAAAUAAGGACCGGCAUGCAGCAGGGUUUGGAGCAUGCCCAGGCCUGUUCAGACAUGCCGGAGCAAGUCAAGGUAGCUGAUUUAAGACGAAGCUGAUGUAGAGAAUGUAUAUACAUGGGUAUAUGUUUAUGCUAAUAGCGGGUAACAGCCCCAGAGUGAGAGAUUGUAACUCCUUAUAAUACAGUCUAAGAUACAAACUUUGAAGAAGAACUUUCCCAUCUCUCACAGUCACUAACCCUGUCAAACGUUAUCUUCUGUGUAGGAAAAGACAAGGCUAGCGUCAUGCAUUUUUUAAGGAGUGUAGUGACUCAGGCAAGAGGUGUGGGGUCCAUGUGCUCCAUCCUGUUUUGUCUUCAAAGCAUCUUCCCAAACAAGCACAUGGCCUCACAGAGUUAGGGGCUGUGUGAAAUUAUCUUGACAAGCAGAAAUGAGCAGACAUGGCUUCUCGCACUUGUGACUUUGUCUCACACGUAUUAUAUAAAUCUCUCCCCUGCUGAACUGUAAGCCCCUUGAGAGGCAGAAGUGUCUGCUGUGGUUGCAUUUUCAGCCAGGACUAGUUUAGUUCCUGGCUCAUGAUGGGGCUUCAUUCACUGGCCUGAACUCUUCUCCUGGACACCAGUGUCUUCUCCCAAGCUCCUGCCCCGUUGAAUAAUAAAUACAGCCUCCAGGGCCUCCAUCCCAUGCUCUCUCCUUUACAUAUCAGGUGCCUCAAAUUAGAACCAGGGAUUCUCAGUUAAAUUAUGUUGGGUGAGCCUGGAACAUUGGUUUUGGUGGUUCUGAGAAAAUCCCCUUCCACUGUCCGUGUGACCAGCGAUCUACCGAGUGUGGCCAUAUUCACAGCACACUACCCGUCCAUUCCCAGUUCCUUCCUGAAUGCAGCAUGCACUUGCAUGUGAUGACAAUGAAGACUGUGCAAGACUCUGGAGGGGGUGCAGAGAUGAAGGGAUGUGUGGCUUGUUUUCAAGGAACUCAAGUCUGGUAGGGGACAGAAAAGAUGAAUGCAAGAAACUCUAAUGUGAGGUUGGUCAUAUCAGUCCAGCCUUACCCACCAUCGUCACCUCUCCGAGGACGAGUGGCUCAUCUGAUGGGGCAGAAUCUCAGAUGCAGGCUGUGCCAAGGCAAGGCUGGCAAGAGUCCCAGAAGCUCGGUUCACUUGCGCUUGGACUUCCUGUUUUUCACCUGUUUGGUGAACAAACCCCUGUUGCCUGGAUGGCUGACUGUCCUCUCUUCCCUUCAUCUCUUUCAUCCUAAACAUCAGGGUGAGAAGUCUUUGCACCUCCUACUUUUCUCUGCAAAGUCUGUCCAGACUCCGAACUAGAAACUGUGAGAUCUGGGCUCCAGGGAUAGAGCAGAAGUCAGCAGAAGGCAACAAUCCUCCUUGGGAGGAAGUCAAAUCACCUAACAAUAGCUGUCAGUGAAUUUGUUCUGGAGUUUUGUAGUGAUGAAUACAGCGGUGCUUCUCCUCCAUCCUGCUAUUCUCGCCAAUGGCUUUCUGGAAAAUGUUGUAAUAGAGGUGAAUGUUGGAGGAAUUUGAGAAUUCUAGGUUCUAGAAGGUUCUAGGUUCUAGAAGGUUAACUUGAUUCACCAAUGCUGUAACUUAACCCCCAUUAGCAAUGGAGCUUCCUGGGGAAAUUGUGAUAAAAAAUCAGUUCUUUCCAUUUUGUGUAUAUUUUACAGUUUACAAAGCCCUUCUAUAGGCAGCAAAAUAAAAGGGAACUUAGUACUUGACGCAGAGAGAACUAUUUUUCAAAUGGUAUAAACAUAAUACAUAUUAGCUCCUGUUUUCAUUAGUUUGAAGGCAUUUGCUGAAGCUUUCUUUUUGAACUUAGAAAACAGCCUACAGUUUCGGAAGAGUCUGUGAUUGGACCCCAAAUCAUAUUUUAAAAUAAAAGACUUGUACAUUCUCAUAAAAGUAAAAGCACUAUAUUAUUGUUAUCCAAAUUUGUGUACCCCAAACACACCAGUGUCUCAGUCAAUUAAAUGUGACAGUUGAGGGUCACAGUUAAGGGCUUGAACAGCUUUCCCUUUUGUUUAUUCCUUGUUCUGAUUAUUUGUAAACUUGCAUAUGACAUAACUUUAGGGGCCAAGUGUGGCAGAAGGUGCCAUCUUCCCAUGACACGCACCUUGUGUCUUUGGGGAGGGAGCUCCCAUGAACUGAUGAAGAUGUCAGCCUGUGUUACAGGAGUGUCAACAGCUGCACAUUUAUCACCGUGCCAUAGGCCCUCUCAGACUGAAAGAUUUCGCUGUUUAUUCACAGCAAAGACACUUAAUUAAUGGCUAGGCCUAAUCGGGCUGUCUUAUUAUUUACAGGGAUACCAGUGUGGCUUAGAUCAACUGAUGUGCAAACAAACCAUCCUUGAGGAAGCUUUAAUUAAUAAUUCUGAGCCAGGCGUUCUGAGAGGCCCUGACUCCCAGCUCUGGGGUGAUUUACAGCGUCUCCUUUGCCACGUUCUCAUGUCCCCUGCAUGCAAAUGAGUGACCACCCUAGCAGAUCUUUCUUUUUCAACUGCACUGGGCCGUGUUUAUUACAGAAAUGCUGUUAUCUUUGCACAGGACUUAAUGGAGAUAGAUACCCUGAAUGGGAAAAUUCCUGGUGUCUUUCUUAGAUAUGUUGCCAUUUAAAAACAUUUGCAUACACGUACUCAGCACCGUCUAAGCUAAAAUAUGAAGAGAAGGGAUGUUCACUUUAGUGAAGCUGAAAGGGAAUUAAGCUUAGUGUUCAUCUGAGGUUCCCAAUCUAGUUGGGAGUCAUAUAUUUAAACAAAUAAUUAUAAUACAAAGUCAGUUGCACUCGAUGUUAACCCAGAAUCAGAAAGCCUACUGGGAGAACAAGAAAGGGAGAAGCAGAGGACUGCUGGGUGGGCCAGGGAGGCCCUUCCCACGUGUGCCUGUUGCGGGGAGGGAGUGAUUAGUAUGCUGGAGGAUAAUAAGAAUGGUUUGAAAGAAAGACAAUUUUGAAAGCAACUUAGAGGGCCUGAGGCUGGGUGCAAGGGAAUGAGCUAGGAGAUCCUUGCAACUGAUUGUUUGCAGGAGUUGUUUUCUGGGCACAAAAUAGAGUCUGAGCACUGGAAAUACAACAGGGGGAAUUAUAUUCAAGGGACUUCCUGGAGGCCGGAUCACAAGAUUUGACAAGGGAUUGAAUGUGGGGGUGAAGGGAGCAGUGCUAUGACUGAUUGGGAAGAGGUUUCCUUGCUGUUACUCAAAACAGAGCUUCAGAGUCGGUGUGCAGUGUCGUUUUGAGUGGCAAAAGGCUGGAAGCAACUUCAAUAUCCCAGAGAGGGGCAGUCUGAAGCAACCAUGAGCCCCUUUUCCAAUGGACUAGUGAACAGCUGCAAAAACAGGAGCAAAAGGAAAGAUGUUCUGUGUGACACUGCGGUGCAAUUUCUAACCUGGCAACGAGACUGCUGUAAACAGCUGGCCCGCAGUGCCUCUAUGCAAUGGAGGCUGAUGUCUAGCUCUCCUGGUUGGUGGGCAGCUCCCCUCUGGGGCCUGCACCCUUUUUCUCUUUUGAUCCCGUUGUCCUCUAAGGCCUCAUUGUCUGCAUCCAGCUGAUGGAAUGGAACAGAGGCACGGUAAAGGCAAAGUUACUUCCGAAAGCCUUUGAUCUGAGAGUGCAGCCUGCCUCCUACUCCCAUUCUACAUGAAAAAACUGGUCAUAUGUCCAUAUUCAGAUUCAAGGAAGGCUGGGAAAUGCGAUUCUGGCUGAGCAGCUGCUUUCGAGCUGUGACUGUUUCCUAGGAAAAAAGAGAGUGUGUUUGCUGAACACCUAGCUGUCUCUGCUACCAUCUCAUUUACUUAUCAUUACAUGAAAAAGCAAGGCGCGUAAUAGUGUUACUGUGUCGGCUAUUGUGUAAAGAGGACUGUCGUAUGUAUUUUUAUUUGUAUACGCAUUAAAAAAUCUAGUACCCAUGCUGACGUAUGGAGAGGACUGUCGGGAAUUAGUAAAUGGGAGAUGAAGCAGAAGAGAAACUUCGCUACACUGGAUACGCUGAUAUGUUUUUGAGAUGCUACCAAUGUAAAUUAAAUUACCUACUCAAAGAACAAAAUAAAUUUAAGACGUUAAAAAAAGAGAGAGAAUGCCAUCAAUCUGGGCAGAAGGUAAGGAACAUGACUCCCAGACACACUGUAGACCCAUCUGGCUCAGGGCCAUCCCAUCCCACAAGCAGCGUGGGAGUGGAUGAAGCCAUCUGGGAUCCCCGUCAGGAGCUGCAGUCUUGAAGACUGUGAGCAAAGCGUAGGCGAAAAUGUACCAGAACUGAUGUCAUGAAAGGAAACCUGCUCUUCUUUGCUCAGAGAAAAGAGGCAGAAGUUUAUAGAAAGAAGAUCUCACUUUGCAUGAUUUGUCAAAUAUACAUAAGCAAAGCAGGUAUAUUUUCAUAGCUUUUAUGUAAAUAUAUGCUUCUUAUUGACCCCAGUGGAAAGGAGGUAUCCUCACCACAGAACAUGAAACGUGGAUGUCACUUCGCAUGGUAAAUGUCUCCCGCAGCGUCUGCCUCUGGAUUGAGAAAAAAGUAGGGUAUCAAUAGACAGCUAAAGAAGGAGUUGCUGGCUGGCUACUGCUUGCAAGCAGCCAUGUGUGUCAAGGAUAUUUCAUCCCCAUCUUCAAGAAUUUUGCCUACAGGACUCCCAGGAGCACAGGAGCCCACUACAAGGAAGGUUAUACAAGGAAGUCUCCCAGGAUAAUAGCAACAGCUCCAAAGACAGUGGCUGACUACCUGUGCAGUGCAAUCAGUUCCCGCAGCCCCAGCUGCUAAACGAGAGUGAGUUUCCCACCAGAAAGACGUGGAGAGGGUCUCCGGAGGCAUGCCCUGGACAUUUCUGGGAGUCAGGCUUUCAGAGGGGACUGGAAGAAUGUUUUUCACAGUUUGGCAAAGGAUUGAGUCUUAAGUACAAUUGAUGGGUUGUCUCUGACCCCAUCAAUAUUGUGAUUGUCCAAGAUAUAAAAUAAAGGACUCUUUACCACAGUUCCUUAUAAUGUGCCCUUUUCCUAACUGCCCAGCGUGCUCUACUAGAUGUGCCAGAAUUCCUCCAGUGUGUCUACCGGGAGCACAUGUGUGAUGUCAGUUCUGUGGAAACUGCUUACGUUGCAUUUCUGGUGUGCCAGCAUCCACUAAGAUGUUGUAGGAAUAAUCACAAUUUGCACCCUCAAGGGCUACCAUAACUCAUGGGGGAGACACAUAUUGAAAUUAAUAGGAUCAGUUGUGAUACGUGCUAUGAUAAGAGCCCAGGCUUCCGUUUCCCAGAUUCUCUGUUUCAGACAUCCAUAAAAUUACAAAUGUAAUACGGCACAAACUGGCCAUUAUUUACCUUGUUAAGAAAGUUAUUAAAUAAAAUCUAUCACUUACAAUCA
Long non-coding RNA from Sapajus apella (tufted capuchin), 8227 nucleotides. RefSeq lists it as uncharacterized. NCBI's taxonomy places the organism in Eukaryota, Metazoa, Chordata, Mammalia, Primates, Cebidae. The transcript is spliced from 2 exons. The record is from RefSeq and is a predicted model, not a curated record.